Molecule: long non-coding RNA, 662 nt
Filed under: Malus domestica (apple)
Lineage: Eukaryota; Viridiplantae; Streptophyta; Magnoliopsida; Rosales; Rosaceae
Description: long non-coding RNA (MDOM_LNC015346)
Source: RNAcentral
ACAGAAAAGAAAAAAGAUCAUGUCGUUGGGAGAAUAUUUCAGAAAGCAGAAAAAAGGAAAGCAAAAAGGAUGCACAUGGAGACACUGCCAAAACAAGGAAUAAAUACCCCACCCGAAUGAUGUAAUUUAUUUUUAUUAUCUUUCGGAGACAUCUGUAUAAACCCCAUCAGAGGGUAAUAUAUAUAAACCCCAUCAGAGGGUCAAAAAAAAAAAAAAAAAAAAAAAAAAAAGGAAAAGCCCAAAACAAAUGGGCUGACAUGUUGUGGAGGGCAAAGGCCCAUAGGCCUGAAAUAGCACCAACCAGGUCAUCAAAAGUACGCCUAGUACUCCAAAUUAUACAUGAGCACUACUCAUGUCAUUCAUACAUAAACAUUCAUGAGCAUCACUCAUGACAAUCAUACAUAAACAUUCAUGACCAUCAUUCAUGUCAACAUUCAUGAGCAUCACUCAUGACAACAUCCAUGAGCAUCACUCAUGUCAAUCAACAUAAACAUUCAUGAGCAUCACUCAUGACAAUCAUACAUAAACAUUCAUGACCAUCAUUCAUGUCAACAUUCAUGAGCAUCACUCAUGACAACAUCCAUGAACAUCACUCAUGUCAAUCAACAUAAACAUUCAUGAGCAUCACUCAUGUCAAUCAGCUUCAAAAGCUUCAUUUACAA